This 709-nucleotide ribosomal RNA is filed under the name uncultured bacterium. RNAcentral describes it as "bacterial SSU rRNA". It matches the Rfam family "Bacterial small subunit ribosomal RNA", at positions 61 to 768 of the family's 1533-position model. The record is from RNAcentral.
GUCGACGGCAGCGCGGGGCAACCUGGCGGCGAGUGGCGAACGGGUGAGUAAUAUAUCGGAACGUGCCCUGGAGUGGGGGAUAACGCAGCGAAAGUUGCGCUAAUACCGCAUACGAUCUAAGGAUGAAAGCAGGGGACCGCAAGGCCUUGUGCUCCUGGAGCGGCCGAUAUCUGAUUAGCUAGUUGGUGGGGUAAAGGCCUACCAAGGCAUCGAUCAGUAGCUGGUCUGAGAGGACGACCAGCCACACUGGAACUGAGACACGGUCCAGACUCCUACGGGAGGCAGCAGUGGGGAAUUUUGGACAAUGGGCGAAAGCCUGAUCCAGCAAUGCCGCGUGAGUGAAGAAGGCCUUCGGGUUGUAAAGCUCUUUUGUCAGGGAAGAAACGGUGUGGGCUAAUAUCCUGCACUAAUGACGGUACCUGAAGAAUAAGCACCGGCUAACUACGUGCCAGCAGCCGCGGUAAUACGUAGGGUGCAAGCGUUAAUCGGAAUUACUGGGCGUAAAGCGUGCGCAGGCGGUUUUGUAAGUCUGUCGUGAAAUCCCCGGGCUCAACCUGGGAAUUGCGAUGGAGACUGCAAGGCUAGAAUCUGGCAGAGGGGGGUAGAAUUCCACGUGUAGCAGUGAAAUGCGUAGAGAUGUGGAGGAACACCGAUGGCGAAGGCAGCCCCCUGGGUCAAGAUUGACGCUCAUGCACGAAAGCGUGGGGAG